This 253-nucleotide ribosomal RNA is filed under the name uncultured bacterium. RNAcentral's name for it is "partial 16S ribosomal RNA". It matches the Rfam family "Bacterial small subunit ribosomal RNA", at positions 524 to 776 of the family's 1533-position model. The record is from RNAcentral.
UACGUAGGGGGCGAGCGUUAUCCGGAUUCACUGGGUGUAAAGGGAGCGUAGACGGCCGAUCAAGUCUGGAGUGAAAGCCCGGGGCCCAACCCCGGGACUGCUCUGGAAACUGGUGGGCUAGAGUGCUGGAGAGGUAAGUGGAAUUCCUAGUGUAGCGGUGAAAUGCGUAGAUAUUAGGAGGAACACCAGUGGCGAAGGCGGCUUACUGGACAGUGACUGACGUUGAGGCUCAAAAGCGUGGGGAGCAAACAGG